CGGAGGAGCGUCGAGGUGGGAGACCUGACAACCGGUGCGAGGGGCUAAAGGAGGAGGGCACGACCGACCGCGAGGAGGUCCGUCAGUUGAGGGACGAAGUCCUCGGUCUGAACGGGGAGCUGAGACAUGCGCAGGAAAGCCUCCAGGCGGUGACAAUUGAGCGGGACGAGGCUUCCCUCCACGCUGACUCCCUCUCUAAGUCCCUGGAGGACGAACGGUCCGAGGGCCAGGCUCUGAAUGCCCGGAUAGCAAGUCUUGAGAAGGAUCUGGAGGCCGCAGCCCAGACCUCUCUGACCCUGUCCCGGUCUGUGGGGCCAAACUAAGGGAGUUGACCGAGGCAGUGACAAACCUCUUCCGGGACCUCGACGUGGUGGGCUUCCCUCGGAGUGGUCCCCCGCGGCCUCGUAUGCAAGCCCUGGGUGGCUACGUACUCGGUGAGCUCCGUGGAGCCGUCCACGGGUGAAGCGGGCCCAGGCCGUGGUUUCCUCCCACUACGAGAUCGAUCUCGAGCAGGUAUGCGAUAGCUACGUACUCCCCAACGAGCCCGAGCUAGCUGCCACCGAGAUGCAGAGGUUUAACGACGUCGUCGAGGGGCCGGGGACUUUGAUGGCGGUCACACCCGGUUCUGGGGGCAAAACCGAAUGCAUAGCAUAUGUGGGCCAGGAUCCAUUUUCCACACAUAUGUUGAUGUCGCAAGUGUAAUAUAUCAGAAGACAAUGCAA
RNAcentral lists this unclassified non-coding RNA (722 nucleotides) under Zea mays. Its description in RNAcentral is "misc RNA Zm00001eb127980". The record is from RNAcentral. Lineage: Eukaryota; Viridiplantae; Streptophyta; Magnoliopsida; Poales; Poaceae.